RNAcentral lists this transfer RNA (105 nucleotides) under Kwoniella mangroviensis CBS 8507. Its description in RNAcentral is "tRNA-Pro". It matches the Rfam family "tRNA". From Rfam's summary of the family: Transfer RNA (tRNA) molecules are approximately 80 nucleotides in length. Their secondary structure includes four short double-helical elements and three loops (D, anti-codon, and T loops). The record is from RNAcentral. Lineage: Eukaryota; Fungi; Basidiomycota; Tremellomycetes; Tremellales; Cryptococcaceae. RNAcentral also lists the same sequence under 2 other names.
GCUUUGUUGGUGCAGUGGUAGCAUGCCUCAUUUGGGAUCGGUUUCCGACUUUGAAUCGGCCUUUCGGAUUUGAGGUGGUCCUCGGUUCAAUCCCGGGACAAGGCC